RNAcentral lists this ribosomal RNA (467 nucleotides) under uncultured bacterium. Its description in RNAcentral is "partial 16S ribosomal RNA". It matches the Rfam family "Bacterial small subunit ribosomal RNA", at positions 28 to 506 of the family's 1533-position model. The record is from RNAcentral.
GACGAACGCUGGCGGCGUGCUUAACACAUGCAAGUCGAACGGUGAAGCUCCAGCUUGCUGGAGUGGAUCAGUGGCGAACGGGUGAGUAACACGUGAGCAACCUGCCCCUGACUCUGGAAUAAGCGCUGGAAACGGCGUCUAAUACUGGAUACGAGAAGGGUCCGCAUGGGCACUUUCUGGAAAGUUUUUCGGUUGGGGAUGGGCUCGCGGCCUAUCAGCUUGUUGGUGAGGUAAUGGCUCACCAAGGCGACGACGGGUAGCCGGCCUGAGAGGGCGACCGGCCACACUGGGACUGAGACACGGCCCAGACUCCUACGGGAGGCAGCAGUGGGGAAUAUUGCCCAAUGGGCGAAGGCCUGAUGCAGCGCCGCCGCGUGGGGGAUGACGGCCUUCGGGUUGUAAACCUCUUUCAGCAGGGAAGAAGCGAAAGUGACGGUACCUGCAGAAGAAACACCGGCUAACUACGU